AACGCUAGCUACAGGCUUAACACAUGCAAGUCGAGGGGCAGCAUGGUCUUAGCUUGCUAAGGCCGAUGGCGACCGGCGCACGGGUGAGUAACACGUAUCCAACCUGCCGUCUACUCUUGGACAGCCUUCUGAAAGGAAGAUUAAUACAAGAUGGCAUCAUGAGUCCGCAUGUUCACAUGAUUAAAGGUAUUCCGGUAGACGAUGGGGAUGCGUUCCAUUAGAUAGUUGGCGGGGUAACGGCCCACCAAGGCGACGAUCAGUAGGGGUUCUGAGAGGAAGGUCCCCCACAUUGGAACUGAGACACGGUCCAAACUCCUACGGGAGGCAGCAGUGAGGAAUAUUGGUCAAUGGGCGAGAGCCUGAACCAGCCAAGUAGCGUGCAGGAUGACGGCCCUAUGGGUUGUAAACUGCUUUUAUAAGGGAAUAAAGUGAGCCUCGUGAGGCUUUUUGCAUGUACCUUAUGAAUAAGGACCGGCUAAUUCCGUGCCAGCAGCCGCGGUAAUACGGAAGGUCCGGGCGUUAUCCGGAUUUAUUGGGUUUAAAGGGAGCGUAGGCCGGAGAUUAAGCGUGUUGUGAAAUGUAGAUGCUCAACAUCUGCACUGCAGCGCGAACUGGUUUCCUUGAGUACGCACAAAGUGGGCGGAAUUCGUGGUGUAGCGGUGAAAUGCUUAGAUAUCACGAAGAACUCCGAUUG
RNAcentral lists this ribosomal RNA (694 nucleotides) under uncultured bacterium. RNAcentral describes it as "bacterial SSU rRNA". It matches the Rfam family "Bacterial small subunit ribosomal RNA", at positions 32 to 715 of the family's 1533-position model. The record is from RNAcentral.